AAUUAACGCUGGCGGCGUGCCUAAGACAUGCAAGUCGUACGCGAAAGUUCCUUCGGGAAUUAGUAGAGUGGCGCACGGGUGAGUAAUAUUUAGGUAAUGUACCCUUUCGCUGGGGAUAACCAGGGGAAACUCUGGCUAAUACCGAAUGAUCCGACUUUUACUGCGGUUUAAGUCGGUAAAGCUGUAAAGCGCGAAAGGAGCAGCCUGAAUACCAUUAGCUAGUUGGUGGGGUAACGGCCUACCAAGGCUUUGAUGGUUAGCUGGUCUGAGAGGAUGAUCAGCCACACUGGAACUGAAACACGGGCCAGACUCCUACGGGAGGCAGCAGUUAGGAAUUUUGGACAAUGGGCGAAAGCCUGAUCCAGCCAUGCCGCGUGAGUGAUGAAGGCCUUAGGGUUGUAAAGCUCUUUUGUCCGGGAAGAUAAUGACUGUACCGGAAGAAUAAGCCCCGGCUAACUUCGUGUCAGCAGCCGCCGUAA
RNAcentral lists this ribosomal RNA (479 nucleotides) under uncultured bacterium. RNAcentral describes it as "partial 16S ribosomal RNA". It matches the Rfam family "Bacterial small subunit ribosomal RNA", at positions 29 to 523 of the family's 1533-position model. The record is from RNAcentral.